GGAGACGUCGCAUAGUCCGGCCUAGUGCACCACCCUGCUAAGGUGGAGACCUCUUUAAGGGGUCCAGGGGUUCAAAUCCCCUCGUCUCCG
This 90-nucleotide transfer RNA is filed under the name Microbacterium galbinum. RNAcentral's name for it is "tRNA-Ser". It matches the Rfam family "tRNA". Rfam says of the family: Transfer RNA (tRNA) molecules are approximately 80 nucleotides in length. Their secondary structure includes four short double-helical elements and three loops (D, anti-codon, and T loops). Further hydrogen bonds mediate the characteristic L-shaped molecular structure. tRNAs have two regions of fundamental functional importance: the anti-codon, which is responsible for specific mRNA codon recognition, and the 3' end, to which the tRNAs corresponding amino acid is attached (by aminoacyl-tRNA synthetases). tRNAs cope with the degeneracy of the genetic code in two manners: having more than one tRNA (with a specific anti-codon) for a particular amino acid; and 'wobble' base-pairing, i.e. permitting non-standard base-pairing at the 3rd anti-codon position. RNAcentral also lists the same sequence under 2 other names. Lineage: Bacteria; Bacillati; Actinomycetota; Actinomycetes; Micrococcales; Microbacteriaceae. The record is from RNAcentral.